RNAcentral lists this ribosomal RNA (117 nucleotides) under Sarcocystis fusiformis. RNAcentral's name for it is "partial 18S ribosomal RNA". It matches the Rfam family "Eukaryotic small subunit ribosomal RNA", at positions 1718 to 1827 of the family's 1831-position model. The record is from RNAcentral. Lineage: Eukaryota; Apicomplexa; Conoidasida; Eucoccidiorida; Sarcocystidae.
UGUCACGGUUGUUGUACAACAGCAAUGGUGUGCGGAAUGGAAAGUUUUGUGAACCUUAACACUUAGAGGAAGGAGAAGUCGUAACAAGGUUUCCGUAGGUGAACCUGCGGAAGGAUC